UACGUAGGUGGCGAGCGUUAUCCGGAAUUAUUGGGCGUAAAGGGUGCGCAGGCGGCGUGUCAAGCAAGCGGUAAAAUAGCGGGGCUCAACCCCGUCGAGCCGUUUGAACUGGCGCGCUUGAGUUCAGGCGAGGUAGGCGGAAUUCGUGGUGUAGCGGUGAAAUGCGUAGAUAUAUGGAAGAACACCAGUGGCGAAGGCGGCCGCCUGGCCUGUUGCUGACGCUGAGGCACGAAAGCGUGGGGAGCAAAUAGG
This 252-nucleotide ribosomal RNA is filed under the name uncultured Bacteroidales bacterium. RNAcentral's name for it is "partial 16S ribosomal RNA". It matches the Rfam family "Bacterial small subunit ribosomal RNA", at positions 524 to 776 of the family's 1533-position model. Lineage: Bacteria; Pseudomonadati; Bacteroidota; Bacteroidia; Bacteroidales. The record is from RNAcentral.